GAGAGAUUAGAUACAUUGAGCAAUUUGGGUAGGAGGCUUUGAAGUCUCCACUCCACGCCAUCUGAAUUAAACAGAACGGCAAGGAAGUGUCGAUGGUUAUGUGGAAUAGAGCCAGUACUCAACUCAGAACAUACAAAAGAUGGUUCUCAAGCGACUCGACGCGAAGAACAUAUGCAGCGCUCUGGGGGAAUGGGGAUUUUGGGAGGUUGGGUUUGGGGAAUUUGGAUUCUCAGUGGAGGCCUAGAUUUCUUCCUCCCUCUGCUUUUGGAAAUCAUGGCCUCAAAUCCAUUGCCUGUGGUGGAGCUCACACCCUCUUCUUAACAGAAACUGGGCGUGUUUAUGCCACUGGUCUUAAUGAUUUCGGACAGCUUGGUAUAUCAGGCAAUGAUAAUUAUACUAUGGAGCCUAUUGAAGUUUCUGGACUUAAGAAGGAAGCUGUGCAAAUUUCAGCUGGUUAUCAUCACUCUUGUGCUAUUACAGCGGAUGGGGAGCUCUACAUGUGGGGAAGGAACUCAAAUGGACAGCUGGGCCUUGGAAAAAAGGGGCAAAGUGUAGUUCCUUUACCAACAAAAGUGGAAUGCUUGAGUGGGCUCACUAUUAAAAUGGUUGCUUUGGCCUCUGAACACUCAAUUGGUGUUACUGAUGGAGGUGAGGCAUUAAGUUGGGGAGGGGGAGGUUCUGGACAACUUGGUCAUGGCAAUCAAUCAAGCAUCUUAGGGUUUUUGAGGAGCACCAGUGAGUAUACACCAAGGCGUAUUACAAAACUAGAGGGAGUUAAGGUAUUUUGUUCUUGUUUAAUUCUCAUUCUUGAUUUAUAGCGUCUUCUCGAAAUGGUAGUUUUCUUUGAUUAAUAGACCUGCUCAAAUAGUGGGCCAAGGUAGACUGGCCUAUUUUUAUGAGUAUGGGGUUUGAACUUUGAGCGACCUAAAGUUACAGGCCUAAUUUUUUGUCGAGGCUUGACUACAUAUAUAUCAUUUAAAUCAAUAAAGUUGUAACCACUAAGCUAGCAACUCAUUUUUGAGUCUACUAUAUAUUGGCAUCCACAUAUUAGUAGAUAUGGCAUAUAUGUAUAUAUAAUAAUGGUCUAACUUUGAUGAUCAAAAAAAUAUUAAACUUUGCACAAUUUUCUAAAUUUAUUUUUAUUAUUUUAAUUUUAUCAAUUUUAGCUUCAACUACAUUGUUGAUAUCAAUUUUAUACUAUUUAGUGGGUUAGAAUUAAAAUGUACAUGUAAAACCUAAUAAACUGCCUUAAAAAAGUAAAAAGGGCAUGAUUUCCAUUGCAUAUAAAAUAUAUAUUAAUUUUAAUAAAUAAGUAUAUAAAAUAUUAUUAUACUAAUUACCUGUAAAAGGAAACAGAGUGACAAAAUUACAGAAUUUAAAACUUGCAUGUAAAAAUAUUUAUUGCUUGGUGAUUAAAUGAGUUAUUCUUUCAUGAGGUCUAAAGUUUAAAUACUACCUUUCAUAUAUGCUUUUUUAUUGAUAUAUACAAGAGGAAUAUAUUUAAUGUAUAAACUUGGGCUCGCCUGGGGGUGGGAUCGGGCCUGAGUGGGAAAAUACAUGCCCAGGCUUGGUAAAAGCACCAGCUGGGUAUCCAUGCCUGUUAUCAAGUCUAUCCAUUAAUAAUUGUGCCUUCGUGGCUCCUUAGGUUAAAAAUGUUGCUGCUGGGUUUCUUCAUUCAGCUUGCGUUGAUGCAAAUGGCUCCAUUUUUGUAUUUGGUGAAAGAGCAAUUGGUAGAUUGGGUUUUGGAGAGGCAAAUAAUGCUGCAACACCAUCCAUGAUAGCUGAAUGCCCAUGGUCCAAUGAAGUUGCAUGUGGUGGAUAUCACACAUGUGUUAUCACAAGUGGUGGAGAACUGUAUGCUUGGGGAUCCAACGAAAAUGGUUGCCUUGGUGUCGGUUCUACUAACGCCUUUCAUUUCCCAGAAAGAGUUGAAGGUCCUUUUUCAAGAUCUCCGGUUGAAAAGGUUUCCUGUGGUUGGAAGCACACAGCUGCAAUUUCUGAAGGCAACAUCUACACCUGGGGUUGGGGAGGUUCUCAUGGAACAUUUUCUGAAGAUGGGCAUUCUUCUGGCGGACAAUUGGUUUGUUUCCUGUUCCUCUUGAAGUGUACCAUAAAGCUGUUUUGUGCAAUUAGUUACAAGUGGUACUUGAAAUUGUUGCUGAAUCAAUACUAUGUAAUAAUAAUCGCGCUUCUUUGGGGAAUAGUUUCUUCUAAAAAAAGGUUUGAUCAUUCUUGGAGUAUUAACCUAUGCCAUCACUUAUCUGAGUCCAUAUUUACCAAUGCUGUAUAUUUGUACAACUAUGUGAUGGCAUCGUACCAAAUUUUGGUUUAGGCAUGUCAUGAAAUCCAAUAAUUCUGUUUAAUGUACGAGGAAGCUUGCAGCUGCUAUAACAAGCAAGUUGUAACUCAGAUUUAGAACAUCAUUCAUUAAUUCUGCAUGCUUAGUAUCUCAUUAUUCAGAAGGAAAUGAUUUUAAACAGGUUCUGUGUUUUGUGGAAAAUUGAUUUCUUUGAAUCUCACGAUGAUGCAGUUUGUUUAAUAUUGAGUGCAUCUGGUGCAUAUGCAUCCUUGUUCACAAUGAUGUGGAGUCCAUUCUUCAUAAUUCAUGGGAAAACUGCUUUCACUAUUUUCUAGUGCACCAGAUGUAAUUUUACAAUUUGCCCUAUGUUAAAGUGCAUCCUUUAUUUAUUUAUUUGUUUGUUUGUUUGUUUUCAUACCAGUAAGUGCAUUUUUUUAUUCUUUUUUAAGAUGCAAUGCUGCUUUUAUUUUUGAAUUAGCAUUUGCAUACAGGGCCAUGGGAGUGAUGUCGACUACGGGAACCCCACAAUGGUCACAUUUGAAAAGAAUGUGAAAGCUCUGCAAGUGUCUUGUGGAUUCAAUCACACAGGUGCCAUACUUGAGAGCGCUGAAACUUAGGCCAGUCUCUUCUUUUGUGCAUGCAUGUCUCCUUGAUUUAUAAAGAUAACUUAAUGUUGCAUUUUUUUUUUUUUGGUAUGUAUUUUCUAAUAAAUUUAUAUUAUAUGCAUAUAUGUGAUAAAAGGUUCAAUAAUAUACAAUACAAGUAGUGUUGAAUGUUAUAUAUUAACUUUUGACCAUUAAGAUCUUAUUUUGUAUAAAUGAAUUCUAUCAUAGUUUACAUUUUUAACCCA
RNAcentral lists this unclassified non-coding RNA (3149 nucleotides) under Hevea brasiliensis (rubber tree). The record is from RNAcentral. Lineage: Eukaryota; Viridiplantae; Streptophyta; Magnoliopsida; Malpighiales; Euphorbiaceae.